GGUCCGGUAGCUCAACUGGAUAGAGCACCUCACUUCUAAUGAGGAUGUUGAGGGUUCGAGUCCUUCCCGGAUCGCCA
Molecule: transfer RNA, 77 nt
Filed under: Octadecabacter sp.
Lineage: Bacteria; Pseudomonadati; Pseudomonadota; Alphaproteobacteria; Rhodobacterales; Roseobacteraceae
Also listed under: 1 other name
Description: tRNA-Arg
Rfam family: tRNA
About the family: Transfer RNA (tRNA) molecules are approximately 80 nucleotides in length. Their secondary structure includes four short double-helical elements and three loops (D, anti-codon, and T loops).
Source: RNAcentral